This 649-nucleotide ribosomal RNA is filed under the name Physcia sp. RNAcentral's name for it is "partial large subunit ribosomal RNA". It matches the Rfam family "Eukaryotic large subunit ribosomal RNA", at positions 79 to 746 of the family's 3401-position model. Lineage: Eukaryota; Fungi; Ascomycota; Lecanoromycetes; Caliciales; Physciaceae. The record is from RNAcentral.
CCCAGUACGGCGAGUGAAGCGGCAACAGCUCAAAUUUGAAAUCUGGCUUCUUCGGAGUCCGAGUUGUAAUUUGUAGAGGGUGUUUCGGGCGAGGCGCCGGCCUAAGUUCCUUGGAACAGGACGUCAUAGAGGGUGAGAAUCCCGUAUGCGGCUGGCGACCGACUCCAUGUGAAACCCCUUCGACGAGUCGAGUUGUUUGGGAAUGCAGCUCAAAAUGGGUGGUAUAUUUCAUCUAAAGCUAAAUACCGGCCAGAGACCGAUAGCGCACAAGUAGAGUGAUCGAAAGAUGAAAAGCACUUUGGAAAGAGAGUUAAAAAGUACGUGAAAUUGUUGAAAGGGAAGCGCUUGCAACCAGAUCCGUCUCCGGGUGAUCAGCCUCCGUUUUCGGUGGUGCACUCGCCCGGUUAUGGGCCAGCAUCGGUUUGGGCGGUUGGAUAAAGGCCAGAGGAACGUAGCUCCCCCCGGGGAGUGUUAUAGCCUCGGUGUCAUGCAGCCAGCCCGGACCGAGGAUCGCGCUUCGGCUAGGAUGCUGGCGUAAUGGUUGUAAGCGGCCCGUCUUGAAACACGGACCAAGGAGUCUAAUAUUUAUGCGAGUGUUUGGGUGUUAAACCCAUGCGCGGAAUGAAAGUGAACGGAGGUGGGAACCCUU